Molecule: ribosomal RNA, 468 nt
Filed under: uncultured bacterium
Lineage: Bacteria
Description: partial 16S ribosomal RNA
Rfam family: Bacterial small subunit ribosomal RNA
Source: RNAcentral
GACGAACGCUGGCGGCGUGCUUAACACAUGCAAGUCGAACGGACAGGCCCUGCUUUUGUGGGGUGCUCGAGUGGCGAACGGGUGAGUAACACGUGAGUAACCUGCCCUUGACUUUGGGAUAACUUCACGAAACUGGGGCUAAUACCGGAUAGGAUCUCCUGCUGCAUGGUGGGGGUUGGAAAGUUUCGGCGGUUGGGGAUGGACUCGCGGCUUAUCAGCUUGUUGGUGGGGUAGUGGCUUACCAAGGCUUUGACGGGUAGCCGGCCUGAGAGGGUGACCGGCCUCAUUGGGCCUGAGAUACGGCGCAGACGCCUACGGGAGGCAGCAGUGGGGAAUAUUGCACAAUGGGCGGAAGCCUGAUGCAGCAACGCCGCGUGCGGGAUGACGGCCUUCGGGUUGUAAACCGCUUUCGACUGUGACGAAGCGUGAGUGACGGUAAUGGGUAAAGAAGCAACGGCUAACUACGUG